CCGCACCGCACCACGUGACUACAGUCGGGAGGAGCGCGCGCUGGCCGCCGGCGUUUCCCCUUCUGGCGUCCAAGCGGCGGCCCCCGGCAGCGCUUACGCAGCCCCAGACGGCGGUGCGGGUGCGCGCCGGACGGGGGGGAGGGUAACAUGUGGCCGCUGCGUUGUCUCCUGGCGGGGAUACUGCUCGCUGCCCGUUGCGGGGGGGAUGCGACGGAGGUCCUUCCGCCCCUGAGUGCCGCCGCCGCCUACCUGCGCCCCACGGAGGUGGCAGGCGGGGGUGCCACGCGAAGCAGCAGCCGCCUGGCCGAGGUGUCGGCUUCGCCCGAGCAGGGCCAGCCCAUGACCCAGCGCGCACUGUUCGUGCUGGUGCUGGCUAGUGCCGCCCUUAUCGUCUACUUCGUGAUCCGGACCGUGCGGCUCAGAAGGCAAAACAGAAAAACCCGAAGAUACGGAGUUUUGGAUACAAACAUAGAAAACAUGGAGCUGACCCCAUUGGAGCAAGGUGAUGAUGAUGAUACAACACUAUUUGAUGCCAGUCAUCCUCGAAGUUGGAGAAGGGAUGUCAAGAACACUUGAAUUUUAUAUGGGCAAGAAUUUAGUGGGCAAGAAGAUAAGCACCAUUUGUCUUCAGCAUGUGAAUUCCAGAGAAAUGGAGAGGAAGGCUCCUCAGUUUUUCCCUGUGUCUUCUCUCCUGUGAGUUCUACUUCCAGUAGUUGCGUUCUGCUUUCUCCUUGCUUAAGUAAUCAACAGUUAGUGGAUGGUGAUCCUGCACCUAGUUGCGUUCUGCUUUCUCCUUGCUUAAGUAAUCAACAGUUAGUGGAUGGUGAUCCUGCACCAAGUUUUAGAUUUGAUACUGCUGCAUAGAAAGGUUCAUAUUCUUAAGUCACUCUCUGAAACUAUGCAAAUACAGGAACAUUUUCUUAUAUUUCAUUAUUGUCCUUGCACUUAAACAUUAUGAUCAAUUCAAACUUAAACUUAUGCAAUUCAAACUUCAAAAAGAAGUUUUCCUUAUUGAGUAUUGCUAUCACACUGCACAUGCAAAAGCAGUAAGAAAUUUGAUAGAGUUGUAGUUAGGACCACUGUCAAGUGUCAGAAGAGAUAAAACGAUGAAUUUUGCCAGUCACAGAUAGUAAUUGAUUAAACGCUAUUUAGUAUGAAACUGAACUGAUGUCUCAAGCAAAGCAAUUCAACAAAUGCAAUGGAGGAUGUCUCAAAUGAAUUGAAAGUAUUGGAGCAGUGAGUCAGAUGUUCUGCUUUUUAUUAGGAAACACCUUUGGAUGCAGAUCUGGAACUUGAAAUAAAAAGUUAGGUUUUUAUAGCUUUUUAGGGGCACUCUUUCAGAUUCAAUUUUUUUUCAUAAGUUAGACUUUUUUGUCUCUCCUAUGCAUUAGAUGAAACUAAUUGGGAUAUCCUCACUGAAUGCUCCUCUGUAUUAGAGAGUUUUAGUUACCCCAUGUUAUUAGUCUUGUUCCAGUAUAAAUUGUGCCUAUAAUAAUAGACACUUUAUAUUCAGGAAUUGCUUUGAUGUCUUUCCUAGAUCUUUUAAGUUCUAUUAUUAUUCAGCAUACUUAUUAGAGUUUGAGGUAUUUGAUGACCAGUUAAAACAAUACUUCCUUGUAAAUGUUUAUUUACAGGAAUAUCAAGGAACCUUAUUAUUAGGAAUGAAUAUGAUAAUAUGGCUACUCCUCAUUUACAAUCAGUAUUAUACAAUUAAAAACACUAUUGUAUCCAUGUUAUAGAGGUUCCUGUUAUGUUUCAAAAGCCCUAUUUUAUCUAAAGGGACUAUACUUGUAGUGUGUUAAGUAAGUAUGUGCACUAUAUCUUCCAGUGCAAAGGAGGCUGUUUUUAUAAGUGAUACAUGUCCUAUGUAUGUAGUUCGGUGUUCUGAUUUUUUUGACUGCUUAUAACAACUUCCAGUUUACCUGUUUUGGAAAUUUGGGUUGCAUUAUAUAAAGGCUUCCAGACACUGAAAUGGCAACGUGCAUCUUCUAACCCUACUCUUUUGCUUUAGUAAGAUGAUAUCUAAAUUCAAUUCAUGUUCCAUAGAAAAAUCUAAAAUUCCAAGCUUGAAGCUUUACCGUAAUAUAAACCAAAUAACUUUGAAGUCUGAAGCUAUAAAACCACCUCAAAGUGUCAAAAUGAUUGUACCUGUUUCUUUAAGCUUCCUUGCAUACCUUAAAAUAGAACCAUUGAGGGAAGUGUGACUAAAACUUAUAUCAGAGGUUUUCAGAGGGUGGAUUUCUUUUUAUGUUUUUAAAUAGAUGGUGUUUUAUGUUUUUAAAUACUUCAGUUUGGUGGAGAAAAAAUUUUCAUUCAAGUAUUUGAUCGUAGAAGAAUCUAAUAGGCACAGUAAUUUUAAAUGGUUGCAAAUCCAUUUUGCAGCAGUAGUCUUGCAGCUGCUUAUGGAGUAAUCAGAGUAUGUAAAGCAGAUCAAUACUGUUUUUAUCCAGUUUACAUAGUUGAGUCAUUUAAUUACUGGGUAUUUCACUCUUAUCCCUGAAAGGAUGUAUCAGGACAAAACAAAAGUGAAAACACUAAGAAUACACAUAUGGUCUAGACUAAGGUCCUUAUUUUUAUUUUGCUUUUCCCUUUUUGCCACACAGACCUGUUAGGGUGAUGAUGAGGUGUAGAUAUGCUUGUUAACAGCCUAUCAAUCUGAAGAGACAAACCAGUGAACUUCUAGAAUCUAAAUAGGGCUGUACCAAGGAUCCUACAUAUUUCUGUCAUGAUCAUUCAGUUGGGUAAACCAUAUUCUAUUAAUUUCCCUUCAGAAUUUAUCUUGGAAAUUCAUACUCAAUGAAGUGGUUUUCGUAUGGAUUGUACUACCUCUGGUCACAAUAUGGAUUUUGUCCUAUUAUGUCCUAAUUUCAUGUUUUUGUCUACGCUUUUUGUGGUUCUGUGGUUGAAGUUAAUUUUACGAUUAAGAAAUUAACUUGAAAUAAAGCAAACGCUUUAUAAGUAUAGAGAGCAGGCUUUGAACUAUACUUGCCCUUAGCUGUGAUAACUACAAAAAAUUUCACACUACUAGUGUUGUAGUUGGAAAAGAAAAAAAACAAGCCCCCCAAAAACACACCAAAAAACCUCUUUUCCAAUUUCCAAAUACCCACUACCUAUUUAAAUUGAAGUAUUGCAGCAAAUCAUGAUUUUAUUUAGCUAUACCAGGCAAUUUGGAAGUGUUUCAAAAUAGGUUACCGAUCCAGACCAUUUUAAAAACACGUCUUUGGGUGACAUACUAUACAAUUAGUUUGAGUGCAUUAUUAGUAUUUGUUUCACUGAUGACUUAGCUAUUGUAAGAUGAAUGAAGUAUUUUUUUUAAUAGAGUUCCUCACACACUAUGGUAUUUUGUUGAUGAAAGAACUGCUAGAUAUGUGAUAUUUGAUUUUAAAAGCAUCAGCUUCUGCUGCAAAACCAGGACCUGAUGUUUUCUUCCAAGUGUGAAGAGCCCAGUAGAAAUGGAGAUAGAAGUGGUGUGUUAUACUUGAACAUGCCAUAGUCUGGAGUAAAUACAUAGUGAUGUGACUUGUGGUGUAGGCACACCUUUACUUCUGUUGUAUGGAGCUGUAAAAUGUGACAAUAAUGUUAACCUCUCACUCAAAUUGCAAGCAAAGUAAUUGUAUUGCAGUAACCGAGUGAUCUAACCAAACAAUUUUUACACUUAAGUUCUUUUAACUUACUGAGGAAAACUAGCUGAACAGAUUACAUCUAAUACCUUCUAACUACCUUACUGUAGGCAAUAAAGGAAGAUGUUAUGAUUGUUUAAAGAUAGCUUUUUAAAGAAGGAAGGUUCUGAAGUUAUAAAAUUCUUUAUUAUCAGGCUUUUGAGAAAACAAGGAUUUCAGUUAGUUUUAGUCAAUAAUGUGAAUAUACUCCAUUUAUGUAUGUUGAGAGCUUGCUGUGCCCUCCUUUAUGCGCAGAAGCUCUCAAAAUUUUAGAAGUUUCUGUUUAGCUUGAAACAGGGUUUGUGUAUAGGAGGAAAACAGUGCUGAACAAUGUGAAUACACUCCACAAAUCACUGUAGAACAGCUUGAUAAAAUGCAGUCCAAACUUCAAAAAGCAAGAGCAUUGCUGAGAGGGAACUUCGAAAACUAAUAUAGAACACCUUAAAAAAACCCCUAAAAUACUCAGUUGGGAAUGUACUUUUUCUAGUUAACUUCUUUUCCCUUGUUUCAACUGAGCCUUUUGCAUCUGUAUGGAAGUUUAGUACUCAGUCUUCAUAUUCCUGCUUAAUCAAAGAUUAAAAUGUGUAACAAAUCAGAAUCACUGAGUGCAAAUUGACAAUAAUAAUGCUCAGAUAUUCUCAGGAGGUGUCAUUACACUUUGUCCUGUAAUCAGCAGUAAUUCAGAGGUACGAUUAGUUUGGGUUUUUUCUAAUGUAUCUUAUAUAUAGAUAGUCAGGCUUGGAACAGCUAGUUAGCAGAAAAAAGGAAGAGGGGCUUUUAAUGUGUUUCGAGUUUAGUCCUUUAAAUCACAGUUGCAGUUUUGCUUAACUACAGUCAUCAAUCAGCUUAUUCAGUUCAUCAGUUUCUCACCCUCAUUAUAGAAGGCACUAAAAAACUUAAUGCUUUUACAGGAAGUUCUAAUCUUUGUGUUCUGGUGGGUUCAUAUACAUUUGUUAUGAACAAAAAUUAUCUAAAUAUUGUACUAUAUAGAAGGAAAAAAAGGUAACUAUCCAAUGGUAUGCAGUCUACUUUCAUUUUUCUUGACUAAAACAAUCAAGAUUUUUAAGGUGAUGCUCUACAUCACCGUGUGCUUAUGUUAGAAAUUCCUAUUGGCUUCUUUAGGGUUGCCUGCUAUAUCUGUUUGACUCUUUCCAAGACUAGGCAGAGAAACUGGAUUCUUUCCUAAAAUCAGCAUAACAGUUUUAGUAUAAGUGUGUUGAUAAGGUUAUUACUUCAACUGUUGUUGCUGUUUUCUUUCAGAUCUAUUAAAAAAAAGUGCAUAGUGUCCUCUGUUGUAACAUAGAUGUAGUUUCAAUGUACUUCCACUGUUGUCGUCAUCCAGGUAGUCUCUGUGCCUCCUCAGUUUGGGGCAGCUUACCUGAAUCGGAUGUGUUAGCCAUUUUGUUCAAUGGCAUGCUACUACACAUCCAAGUCUGAAAUAUUGUCUUUUGGUUUCUCACCAUGCAACCUUACCUACAUGUCAACUGAGUUACAGUAUGGUAAUAUAACAUCUUCAUUUUUGAAAGGUACAUCACACUAAUAAUUUACAGUCUUCAUUAAAUCACUUUAUACAUACCCACACAGCUUCCUGCUCUUCAAGGCACAAGGAAAAGCAAUUCUUCCAUUUUUAUAGCAUCACAGUUGUGGAUAUUACCAAGAGUUACCAAAGUUUGACUAGGAACUUGGGAGCCUUCUAAGUUUAAAAAUAUAUCCAACAUGGUGAAACCCUGUUUUUUUUCUUAUAAGUGAGUUGUCUUUCCAUUUGGGUGGUUGAAAUGAGUGGAGUUUUAUGGCAUUUAAUAAUAAAAUUUUAUAUCUCUAUGUUUUGGGUUUUUUUUAAUGUUUUGGGUUUUUUUUAAUGUUUGGUCUUCAAUGUAGGCUCAAAAGUUCCGCUUGGAACAGGGCAUUUCAAAUUAAUGCAUCUGUUUCUUCUGUUGUAGAGAAGUACAUGCCUUUCAGUGAAAGAACUUAAUCUUAGAACGAGAGAAGGAGACUACUUCAUGGGAGGAAUAAGAAGCAAGAGGGUAUGCAAGUUGGGGGCACUAAUUUAAUUUGUGUAUAGUAUGGCAACCUUAAUUUGUUGCAAUAAGUACUGUAUAAAUUUGUUGUACCCUUUUGUAUAUAGAGGAUUCUAAAUGUAAAGCCUAUGGAGAGAGAGUACACUAAAAUGAAAACCUGUUUGGAAGGGAGAGUAUUUUUAAAACAGGGUAUUUUUUUUUUUCCUUGUUACCAGUCUUGUAUGCCAUAAGCGUGGUAUACACCUUUUCUACAGUAAUCUGGAACAUCAACAAAUUCUUUUUGCUUAUAUUAAAUUGUGAGUAAACAUAGCCUCUGUGGACUCUUAAGAAUUGUUAGAACGUGAGUUUAGUUGAGAAGGUGCUUUAUCCUUUACAAAUAAAAAGCCAAACCAUU
Molecule: RNA transcript, 6071 nt
Organism: Cuculus canorus (common cuckoo)
Lineage: Eukaryota; Metazoa; Chordata; Aves; Cuculiformes; Cuculidae
Gene: FAM174A
Gene name: family with sequence similarity 174 member A
Exons: 4
Source: RefSeq, a predicted model, not a curated record